GGGAAUAUUGCACAAUGGGGGAAACCCUGAUGCAGCGAUGCCGCGUGGAGGAAGAAGGUUUUCUGAUUGUAAACUCCUUUUAUCAGGGACGAUAAUGACGGUACCUGAAGAAAAAGCUCCGGCUCACUACGUGCCAGCAGCCGCGGUAAUACGUAGGGGGCAAGCGUUAUCCGGAUUUACUGGGUGUAAAGGGGGCGCAGACGGCAGCGCAAGCCAGGAGUGAAAGCCCGGGGCCCAACCCCGGGACUGCUCUUGGAACUGCGCGGCUGGAGUGCAGGAGGGGCAGGCGGAAUUCCUGGUGUAGCGGUGAAAUGCGUAGAUAUCAGGAGGAACACCGGUGGCGAAGGCGGCCUGCUGGACUGCGACUGACGUUGAGGCCCGAAAGCGUGGGGAGCAAACAGG
This 402-nucleotide ribosomal RNA is filed under the name uncultured bacterium. RNAcentral describes it as "bacterial SSU rRNA". It matches the Rfam family "Bacterial small subunit ribosomal RNA", at positions 357 to 776 of the family's 1533-position model. The record is from RNAcentral.